UGAGAGUGAGGAGUCACGUGCCGAUUUGGGCGGGGUCUGAGCCUGUCGGCCAUGACGGUAGGAGACGCUAUCGGUUGCCAGGGGCAACUUCAGAGAGGCGCGACUUACAGAGCUCUUUAAUAAUUUAUUAUUUCGGCAGGACAGAGACGAUCUACAAAUACAAGAAAGAAAAGGAAUAAGGAAUGCAAAAAGAUUAGGCGAAAGAAAGGGACCUUACAGGAACAAUCUCACAAACAGCGUUGUACUGGCAAAGGUUUGGAAAUGCGUUACCCAGGAGUCAUGAAAGUUAUCUAGUACAGGAAAGUCAAUCACCUUAUCUUCUAAAAGAUGCUCUGGUGACCAGACUUACAGGGAUCUUGAGCGCACAAACCAGUAAAGAAGUGGCUAAAAGGAUCGUUAUGAUGUCGGAUGCCAGAUCCACCUAAACUUUCAUCUAGAGCAGUGUUCACAAAUCCUGGUCCUUGAGUCCCCCUCCUAGAAAGUUUUAUAUGACUCCUUAUUUAAAACACUUGAUUCAACUCAUCAGCUUGUUAGGGAGACCUGUUAUCCAUUCUGGAAGGAGGCUGUUGAGGUGUUUUAAAUAAGGAGACAUCUAAAACUUUCUGGAAGGGGGUACUUGAGGACCAGGAUUGGGAAGGACUGAUCAUGACGAAGAUGGAAAGAUCCUAUUUCAUCAAAGCUAAAGAAGCAGGAGACUUGACACAAGCACAAGCUCACUCCAGACAUGGUUUCUGGCUUCCAGGUCUGACGUAACAUUAUAUACAAAAUCAUUAAUUGUAUCUAUAGAGCUUAGUGGUAAAGCAUUGCAUUAGCAGUGCAAAAGGUCAAGCGUUCGAACCCAGGGAACACACAUGGUGAUAAAAAUGUACACCUUAUAAUGCACCAGAGGCCAUUUUGGAUAAGCAUCCGCCAAAUGAAUAAAUGUAACUAGUUAAAGCCAGAUAAUUUCAGUCCUAACCUGUUGUUGUCACAUCAAGUUUAGAAGCCUUUGGCAGAUGCUUUAAUUCAAAGUAACUUUGUGUUUUCAAUCCAUACAUUUUUCUUGGGAAUUGAGCCCUCUCCCAUCAGAGCUAUGGGAACACACAAUUCUGGUCUGAUUGGCCGUCACCCCUUUACAGUUAAUGAUGAGAAUUCCUUCACAAAGACCAUUAAAGAUCACAUAACACACACGGUUUCUGCCACUCUCAUGUUAAUCUUGGUUAUCUAUAGAGUAGUAUUUCAUCCUUCAUAUUUCCAAAGAGUCUUUCGUGUUGUCAGAUUCAUAAAAGACAGAACACCUUUUUCCGUGUUUUUUUUUUCCGGAAAAGAUGAUCUCUUGAAGGUGUACAGUGGGCGGAGCUAAAGAGUUACGAGUACACAGCCUUUGAAUUCUAAUCCAACAAUUGAUACAUCAAAGUAAAUAAAACUUAAAUAAAAAAUGUUUUUUACAUAACCUUGGCUUACAGUCAGAUACAGCCGUACAUAUAUGAUCCAGAAUCAGAUACUGAGUCGGUAAUUUAUCAACAGAAACAAAAGCAGCAACUAUUGUUUGGCCCAGAAAUACUCUUGUCACAUGCUCAAUGGCUUUUUUGACAUUAUGCAUUAGUUUAGCAUGAGGAUUACAACUUUUAAACAGUGUUAAUAAGUCAGAAUGGAUAAAAUAGCAUUAAACCCCUCCUUUAAGGACACUAUCUGGAAUGACCUCUCAAAAAGAUACCAGGUGUUCAGCGUAAUCAUAUUCUCACUUGUUUUUAAAUUAGGAUUAUUUAGGGACUCAUACUAUGUUUUUACGUAGUCUUACUUGCAGGUUGACAGCGUCAGACAGUUUUUGGAGGAGGGCACAGUGUUGGAUCCCAGAUUCAAGUGAAAAGUGUCCGAUGAAGUGUUGAACAGACUGGAGGAGUUGCUGAUAUAAAUGAACAGGCUCAGGGCCAGCAGAUGAAUCAGGGGCUCAAAGAGAGAGCAGAUGACCAAGAUGACCGCUUAUCUGAUGAAGACAUGUGUGCAUCUGCCAGUGAAACAGUGAAGAGGCCAAAGCUUUCUGCCCUCGAGGAGCUGUUUGGUGUAGAGGACAUGAAAAUAAAUCCUCAGCGAGUCCAGUAACCCUGGUGGUGUGACAUGAAGGACACUGCCAAUGCUUUUUUGAUUUGGCUUCAGGGUAUCUCUGUGUAUUGUUUCAUAAAACAUCAUAAGGUGGAAACUGUUGGACAGUUAGGACAGGCUAUGAAUUCUGGGUUGGCAAAGAGAAAGGAGACAUAAGCCUGCCCCCAAUCCAAAUUUAAGCUUUGAUUUUAGAUCUGAAGUCUAGUAUUUGUUGCUGGCUGGAUUCAUGUUGUUAAUGUGCAGUUAAUGCAUAUACUAUAUAUGUGCAUUAACAUAUAUAUAUAUAUAUAUUAUGUGAAUAAAUGUAUACCACAUUGUUUGUAAAAUCUGAUUUCAGUGCCCACUGAUUUAUUGGGGGAGUGUGAUGAAAAUGUCUGUCAAUUUAAAUUAUUUACAUAAGCUGUGUGUUAAAUGUUUUUUUAUUUGUGGAAAAUGUGUGUACACAGUAUGUGAAAUAUACUAGAGGGGAUUUUACAUACAUUUUAAAAUAGAUUUACAUAUAACAGCAAAAUAAUAUGUAGACAAGUACUAGAAAUAAAUAUAUAUGGUCAGAUAUUGCAAUAUAAAACCAUAUAUUUACAUAGAAGGUUAUCUACAUGUAUUUUAAUAUAAAAGUAAUGAAUAGAUGUAAAAAUUAUUAUUAUAAUAUAU
Molecule: non-coding RNA, 2733 nt
Organism: Misgurnus anguillicaudatus (oriental weatherfish)
Lineage: Eukaryota; Metazoa; Chordata; Actinopteri; Cypriniformes; Cobitidae
Source: RefSeq, a predicted model, not a curated record